Molecule: long non-coding RNA, 163 nt
Organism: Mya arenaria
Lineage: Eukaryota; Metazoa; Mollusca; Bivalvia; Myida; Myidae
Exons: 3
Source: RefSeq, a predicted model, not a curated record
ACAAAGGCACAAAUUGCGGAUUUUGCUCAGACUAUCUGCGACUAUGUCGGGUCUGAAGGUGGCGGUUUAGCGUGCACGACAGCCUGUGGUCUUGCAGGCACAGCAAUUCCAUUGAGUGGUUUAUUGUGUGCGCCCGCAUGCGCCUUGCUUGCUACUGGAGCAC